GCCACCUUAGCUCAGCUGGUAGAGCAACUGAUUUGUAAUCAGUAGGUCGCCAGUUCGAUUCUGGCAGGUGGCUCCA
RNAcentral lists this transfer RNA (76 nucleotides) under Chitinophagaceae bacterium. RNAcentral describes it as "tRNA-Thr". It matches the Rfam family "tRNA". From Rfam's summary of the family: Transfer RNA (tRNA) molecules are approximately 80 nucleotides in length. Their secondary structure includes four short double-helical elements and three loops (D, anti-codon, and T loops). Further hydrogen bonds mediate the characteristic L-shaped molecular structure. tRNAs have two regions of fundamental functional importance: the anti-codon, which is responsible for specific mRNA codon recognition, and the 3' end, to which the tRNAs corresponding amino acid is attached (by aminoacyl-tRNA synthetases). tRNAs cope with the degeneracy of the genetic code in two manners: having more than one tRNA (with a specific anti-codon) for a particular amino acid; and 'wobble' base-pairing, i.e. permitting non-standard base-pairing at the 3rd anti-codon position. RNAcentral also lists the same sequence under 1 other name. Lineage: Bacteria; Pseudomonadati; Bacteroidota; Chitinophagia; Chitinophagales; Chitinophagaceae. The record is from RNAcentral.